GCAAAUCCAGGGCGUUAAGGUACUGGCACUGGGAGAGCUCGCCGGGGAUCGAUCCGGAGAAGUCGUUGCCCGAGAGGUCGAGGCGGACGAGGAAGGGCAGCGAUUUGCAGAGAUCCGCGGGGAUGGCGCCCGAGAAGGAGUUGCCCGAGAGAUCCAAGCCCGUGAGACUGGAGCAUUUGUCGAGACCCCGGGGGAAGGAGCCCGAGAGGCCGGCGGCGCGGAGGGAUAGGGAAUAAAUCUUGGCCUCGGAUGGGUGGAGGCACUGGACGCCCACAGCGUUGCAAAUGGAGCUGCUGGAGCUGCUGUUGGCGGACCAGGAGCUCAGGUAGCC
This 331-nucleotide long non-coding RNA is filed under the name Selaginella moellendorffii. Its description in RNAcentral is "long non-coding RNA (SMOE_LNC000452)". Lineage: Eukaryota; Viridiplantae; Streptophyta; Lycopodiopsida; Selaginellales; Selaginellaceae. The record is from RNAcentral.